GUGCCAGCCGCCGCGGUAAGACGAACCGUGCGAACGUUAUUCGGAAUCACUGGGCUUAAAGCGCGUGUAGGCGGGCCGGCACGUCGGUCGCUGAAAUCCCCCGGCUCAACCGGGGAAGGGGCGCCGAUACGACCGGCCUGGAGGGGCGUAGGGGGAUCGGGAACUUCCGGUGGAGCGGUGAAAUGCGUUGAGAUCGGAAGGAACGCCCGUGGCGAAAGCGCGGUCCUGGACGCCUGCUGACGCUGAGACGCGAAAGCCAGGGGAGCGAACGGGAUUAGAUACCCCGGUAGUCC
RNAcentral lists this ribosomal RNA (293 nucleotides) under uncultured bacterium. Its description in RNAcentral is "partial 16S ribosomal RNA". It matches the Rfam family "Bacterial small subunit ribosomal RNA", at positions 505 to 796 of the family's 1533-position model. The record is from RNAcentral.